CAGGCUUAACACAUGCAAGUCGAGGGGCAGCAUGGUCUUAGCUUGCUAAGGCCGAUGGCGACCGGCGCACGGGUGAGUAACACGUAUCCAACCUGCCGUCUACUCUUGGACAGCCUUCUGAAAGGAAGAUUAAUACAAGAUGGCAUCAUGAGUCCGCAUGUUCACAUGAUUAAAGGUAUUCCGGUAGACGAUGGGGAUGCGUUCCAUUAGAUAGUAGGCGGGGUAACGGCCCACCUAGUCUUCGAUGGAUAGGGGUUCUGAGAGGAAGGUCCCCCACAUUGGAACUGAGACACGGUCCAAACUCCUACGGGAGGCAGCAGUGAGGAAUAUUGGUCAAUGGGCGAGAGCUUGAACCAGCCAAGUAGCGUGAAGGAUGACUGCCCUAUGGGUUGUAAACUUCUUUUAUAAAGGAAUAAAGUCGGGUAUGGAUACCCGUUUGCAUGUACUUUAUGAAUAAGGAUCGGCUAACUCCGUGCCAGCAGCCGCGGUAAUACGGAGGAUCCGAGCGUUAUCCGGAUUUAUUGGGUUUAAAGGGAGCGUAGAUGGAUGUUUAAGUCAGUUGUGAAAGUUUGCGGCUCAACCGUAAAAUUGCAGUUGAUACUGGAUAUCUUGAGUGCAGUUGAGGCAGGCGGAAUUCGUGGUGUAGCGGUGAAAUGCUUAGAUAUCACGAAGAACUCCGAUUGCGAAGGCAGCCUGCUAAGCUGCAACUGACAUUGAGGCUCGAAAGUGUGGGUAUCAAACAGGAUUAGAUACCCUGGUAGUCCACACGGUAAACGAUGAAUACUCGCUGUUUGCGAUAUACUGCAAGCGGCCAAGCGAAAGCGUUAAGUAUUCCACCUGGGGAGUACGCCGGCAACGGUGAAACUCAAAGGAAUUGACGGGGGCCCGCACAAGCGGAGGAACAUGUGGUUUAAUUCGAUGAUACGCGAGGAACCUUACCCGGGCUUAAAUUGCAGAUGAAUUACGGUGAAAGCCGUAAGCCGCAAGGCAUCUGUGAAGGUGCUGCAUGGUUGUCGUCAGCUCGUGCCGUGAGGUGUCGGCUUAAGUGCCAUAACGAGCGCAACCCUUGUUGUCAGUUACUAACAGGUUCCGCUGAGGACUCUGACAAGACUGCCAUCGUAAGAUGUGAGGAAGGUGGGGAUGACGUCAAAUCAGCACGGCCCUUACGUCCGGGGCUACACACGUGUUACAAUGGGGGGUACAGAGGGCCGCUACCACGCGAGUGGAUGCCAAUCCCCAAAACCUCUCUCAGUUCGGACUGGAGUCUGCAACCCGACUCCACGAAGCUGGAUUCGCUAGUAAUCGCGCAUCAGCCACGGCGCGGUGAAUACGUUCCCGGGCCUUGUACACACCGCCCGUCAAGCCAUGGGAGCCGGGGGUACCUGAAGUGCGUAACCGCGAGGAGCGCCCUAGGGUAAAACUGGUGACUGGGGC
RNAcentral lists this ribosomal RNA (1434 nucleotides) under uncultured bacterium. Its description in RNAcentral is "16S ribosomal RNA". It matches the Rfam family "Bacterial small subunit ribosomal RNA". The record is from RNAcentral.